GUUCCUAUGGAGAAAGCAUCCAGAAAACAUGGUGAAACCACAGAUCCAUGCCAGAUUUCUUCCUCUAAACCCGCUUUUCAGAGCGUCUUGCUCCUAUUGCUGUACUGGAUCUGCAAACGCUAUACAAGAGGACAAACAGAGGCACAUAUUUUCUCCACAGAAGCUUUAGAAGGGAAAUUUCUACCCAGGCUUACAGCACUAUGGCUGUACAAAGCAGUACAUCUCCGACAUAUGUCCAUGAAAACUCAGUCUGAGGUAUUCUCCCGAGUACCUCUCCAGAAGGAGCAUACCUAAUAAAGGGGUGCUGCUGAGGCACUGCAGCUCAGCAUAACGCUCCCCUGUGUCACAAACUGAUCCCUGGGAGUGUUUUAACAGGGUAGGAAAAGCUGAACCGACGUCCAGCCCUGAGCCAGGCUCACCUGGUGCUGCAGACCCACCGGAGCCAAACUUCCAAAACUUCCACACACCCUCAAGAUUUCCUAAAACAGUUCAAAUGAACGAUCGUAUCCAUGUAUGAAAGUAAAAGCUGGGGAGAAGGGGAACACAUCAGGAAUUACAAAGCUUUUCCCUGCAUUUAGCCCAUCGGUUAAGCCUGAGCAUUUAUUUGCAGCUGACGUUCUGUUUCCAUGGGCAGCUGAGAGCGCAGUUUGGGGAGGCCUCAUAGUACCCACAGCCAACCUGCAGCAACAAACAGCAUCUGCAGAGAGCAGAAGGAACUGCUGCUGACACCUAUAGUGUAUGAGCCGCUGGUCGGGAGAUUGCAUUACCUUAUCUAAGUAUGCAUUUCAACACUUCUUAUCAUUAUACGUUGUCCUUCUAUUUCUUUUUUUUCAGGUCUAAAUACAGCAUUCCCAAGGUAGGUACAAAGGUGUGGUGUGGUUUGUGCUGGAUAAACCAUGUCUGUGGAAGUUUCUUUGGUGAAUGUUUGGAAUUACAAGCCCUGCAGAACAAUGCCCAGUGGUUUCUAAGAACUCACCCUUUUCUCUUUGCAAGAGCAGGAGCAUGUGAACAACCUCUGAGAUGUGAAUGAGUGAGCUCAUCUUUGAUGUACACUGAUGCCUUACUGAAGGGGAUGCCUCCUUCUGGGAAGGAGGGAGUCACUUGGCUUGGCUGCAGGUGGCAGGAAACACUCAGCUUGCAUCUGUCCUGCAAGCAGCCGGACAGAGCAGGAGGUUCUGCUUAGGAGCAAAAUGACACUGUCCUGCCCUACCAGGAUGGUGGGACAUGUGCUCUCUGCUGCUGUCGUCUCUUACUCCGCGGGUCACAAGCAGAACAGGCAAUUAACAUGUUAGGAAGCCUGCCUACAGCCUAUUUUUAAUCUCACCACCUUCUGCAGCCUUCAGCUCCGGCACACUCCUAACACCCCACCAGCUCCCCAAACCCACAUGCCUUCUUGCCACCGGCCUUUCAUCCUCCCACCCGCUCUGUGCUGCAGUCAGCACGCAGCAGCCAUGCCGCAGCAUUGCAGCGAGGCACAGCGGGAGGCAGAAAAGGGGGAAGAAAAAGGGGAAUGGCUUUAAUCCCAAAGGGUGUUACUUCAGCCUCCUUGCUACUCGCUGAGAGAGAGGCUUGUUGUUUGCCCACUGGCUUUGGCACCUUCCACGUGGGAUCUGAGUGACAUUGCUUAAUGGACACGGUGAACUAAGCUGAUUUAGUGCUCUUUUGCAACCUCAACGAUUCUAUGAUGAUGAUUAUCCCAGAUCUCUGCCCUGCUUUCCCCACCUUAUUCUCUCCCAUAGCUUCUGUAGCACAGUCUGGGAUUAAAUAGGGCAGGGUCAGGAACUGGGUGUUCAUGUUUUCCCAUCAGGACAUUGGAUCUUGCCAAAUGGCGAUGCAUUUCUGUUUUUAAAACGGACGUGAAAAUCCUCCCCUCUCACCUUACCUUUGCUCUUCCAAGCUGUGGUACAACAAAAGGUUGUAAAUGAGCAGUAACUCUUAAGAAACAGCUUCGAUUCCUUCCAGUGAAGCUUUUAAUAUUUUGACAUCAUUAGAGCGAGGUGCUGAAUUAGCUGACGAGUCCCCUACGUACAGCAGUGACUAAGCUAAUAAUAUCCAAUCCCGUUCCAAGGAGAAGAAAGCAAACAAGGCAGCGAGGUGUCCGUGUCUGGAGGGGGAACUGAUACAGAAACCGGGGUUUUCUCAGGAGCCUUUGCCUCUGGAUUCCCAUUCAGACCACUUUCCUUCUCAUGGGAGCCAAUGCAUUUUCUUUGCUAGUUAUGAUUAAUUAACAUUUGGGAGGUGGUUGGCAUUUUUAAAUCAAGAAUUGAGACAAGCUGGCAGAUGCAGAAAGGAAGCAGUCUUUUAGUCAACGUAGUUUCCUUCUGAGGAAAAGCAUUUUAUCUGUGUUGCACCACACCACACCACUGGAGAAAAUGCCCUUCUGUAGCCUCAGCUUCACUUCAAAACGUGAGGCAGAAGGAAGCCUUAAACAUAUUUCCCCUCCAGAAACUCUCUUGGCUCCACAUUUCCAAAUAUGGAAGAGUUUGCAACUGGAAGCACAUUCUUGAAGAGGAGGAAGAGAAGCUGCAUCUGCUGAUACUGUGAGAAAAUUCACAAUGAGGACAGCAUACCCUGUGAAUAUCUGCACCAGCAGGAGAAGACUGAGGACCCAUGAAUUGCUGGUUUUCUGGGUCUUAUGCUGAGUAGUAAGUGAAUCCUGCAUUAAUACAACCCCUGUGAGGACAGAGGGGGAGGUGGUGGAGAAAGGACAUCAUGUGCCACAUAGCAAGCCUGUUAACUUAGCUAAAGGGCAUCAGAGCUCAUUGCAAGCAGUUGGAUGAGCCAAACAGCUUGCCUGGCACUAGCAGCCUGCAAGUGCACACGGCUGGGCUGCUGCACAGAUAUCAGAGGGAAGCGGGCCUCCAUUCUGAAGCAGCUGUAGACACCACCAAGAAGGGAAAGACACACAGCUGCUGCUAGUUAAGCUCCCUACCCCACAAAGGCGUGAAGGUUGGAGCUAGGGAGGGGUUGAGGAAGUGCCUUUUCCUUUCCCCUUAAGCUUGGGAGCCAUAUAAGAUCAUCUCUUGUGUUACUGUGAGGAAACAGGGUGCCACGCAGGAACAUCAGGCCAUGUCUCCCCCAUCCCAGGGUUGCUCUGCGCCCACCCACUGCAGGAGCUCAGGAUCCAUGUGCCAGAAGAACCAAGGAGAUGGAAACAGCCUUGCACUGGAAUCUCUAAUUUUAAAGAUUAUGAUCUUAAUUCACAAUUCUCAAGCACCUCCAGAAAUCAGUUUUCAGUUUUCUUGAUGUACAGCCAAAAACCAAACAAACCUUGAGCCAUUCAGCUUAUUGCUAUUGAUAUCAAAAUAACUUGGAUGUGUCUUUUCAUCCAACUAUUAGCAGCCUGGAACCUUCAAAAGCAGACUCUCUGCAGACAGCCCCUCCUCAUUUCAGAGCGGCCCUGAAAGCUGUAAGGAAAGCUUUUUGCUUUCCUCAUACCUUCAGUUCCCAAAGAGUCCUUGAAAUGAAAGCUGUCUAACAGUGAAAAAUAACAAGGAAAAUGCAGUGAUUUCACAAGGACUCUGAGAAAGGCUUUCACCAGUGAGCUGAAGUUCGUUCUUAAUUGUCUAUACCAGGGAAAGCUCUGUCUUGUCAGGCACAGAGCAGGAGUCAGGCGUCUGUGACACCGAACUCUCAACUUCUAGCAUAAGGGUUCAAACUGGCACUCCUUUACUGAACAAAGACAGAUCAGACACUUGCUUGUUUUCCUACCUCUGCCUUCGCACAGUUUAAAUAAGUGCCAGUAAUGCCCAUCUCAGGGUGCUCUAAUUUAGCAGGAGAAGAGCAAGAGUCUAAGAGCAGUGUAAAGGUCCUUCUGUCCUGUCUGCCUGCGUUGAAUCAAGCAUCCACAGUUCAAAGCAAGUCUAUACUCAUGUUGCCUCCCCCUCUGCUUUUCUGAUAGCUACCUUGCAGCUAAUUGAGCCCCUUGAAGCUACCUAACAGCAAUUGCUCUGCUUGUGGAAGAACACAUUAACUACUGCCGAGAUGUACUGAGCAGUGAGUCUUGUCUUGCUGCAAUACCCUGGAGUCCUUAACUGUGAAGACAAAUCAUGUUAAUUAGGGACUGCUAAGACAUAAGACAGAAUUAAUCUUGUUAGAAAGUUAGAUGGGGAAAUAGAGCAAUUAGAGGUUUUGCUACAGAACAAGAUAGCUGAAAUGGAGGCGUAAUAAACUGCACCAGCCUCCAAAAUCAUGGCAAAGUAGAAGGUGUCUUUUAAGCAGCAGCAGAAUGUAGAACACAAACAUGACACAGGUGUUUGGAUGCCUGCAGUGAUGACAGGAGACAGACACUUUUACACAGAAAACUCAGCGCAUACAUUUCGUGAGCUGAAGCGUCUCAAGUGGGGACUUAAAGACGACGUGGUAGAGUUGCACGCUACGGCCUGGAGGUGUGGUCUUGCUCCCGGGAGCCUGAGAUAUGAUCUGGGAGACCAGAAUUCAGUCCUAGCUUUGUUUACUCAGCCCUGCUCGGAUUUACGACCACUUGCCAACCAGUUCUGAACCUGUAGUAUUAUUCCUGUAGUAGCAUAAUUAAGAUGUUAAUUUUACCACUUUCAAUUGUUUCUUAACACAUUGCCAAAGAGGAACUCCCAGACUUUAGGAGGCUUCUUUACUUUGAAUAAGUAAAAUGAUAUGUGAUAAAGAAGCAUCUGUUUAAUUUCUGUUUUCUCUGUCCUCCCCAUUUCAGUUCUCGUACUUAGGAACCAAAGUAGGACUCUGUUUUCCUAGCAGCCAUCUCAAACUCUCUUGAUUUCUGUAGGGAAAUGGUUUCUUUCUCCAGAGUCGUAUCCUCUUGCCAGCACAAAGCUAACAGCUCUUGAACAUAAGACAUUUAGUGACUUUCAAUGUAUUCUUGAGGGGCUAUUCUCGUUCUUAAACAUCAGGUGCAAUCAUUCCCAUAGCAAUUGGUACCCCCAAGGAGAAAGCAUAAGUUGCUAAUUAUGCCAGAACAGGCGGAUGUUAAGUACGCAGCUCCAGCCCUUCGACGUUGCCCUCUGGGUGCAUGUGUGCUCGUAUCUAACAGCUUCUGAGGGGAGCUUCCUUUGUUCUAAGUUGAAUAGCACUUUAUAUCAAAGCGUGCUAUUGCCUUAAUAGAAAUAUUUGAAAGGAAUAUUGAUUUGGAUAAAAUAAUUCCUGCGGUAUCUAGCUACUCUGUUGUCUGAAAGCAAAGCUAAUGGGAGGAACACUGCUUAGCAGAUAAGCGUCAGGUCCUGUUCAUGAGCUGAAUUCUCCACAAGCAGCCCAUGUCUCUCUGCCAGUCAAGCUGCCCCCAACAUGGCAUAGGUAUGCAACCUGCAGGAUUUUGCAUGGAGACUUUUCUAAGGAUGUCCAUCAAACAAAACAAUUCACCUGAAUGUGCCCCCUGCAUAACAGCAACUCUAGGAAUUCUUGUAUUCUCAACUUGAGGAGUUGGCAACUGAUUGACUCUGAUUUGUUACAGGACAGACUUCUAUUCCCCUUACAAAGUAACUUCUGAUAUUAACCAUCGAGCUACAAGUAGUUGUUAUAUAAAAAUGCAUACACUUUUUCAAAAUACAGCAAAGGUCUGAGUUUCAAGCAUCUCCAUGUAGCAAGUAAUUAUCCUGAACGAAAUAGGAAUAGUACUGCCUCUUAUACAAUAAAUCAUGGAUAUCAUUAGUCAGAGGUUAGAGAAGACUUGCAUGGAGUGGGAUAUACUGAGGUAAGUGUUAUAUGAAGAGAAACUGGAAGCUGUCAUGGCUUUAUCUGUGUUUUAUUCUCUUUUUCUACUCAUGUUGAAUAGCUUACAAUAAGGCUAGACACAGCAGUAAAAUGAUUCAACUCUCCUGUGUAAGACUGUUAGAAACACCUAAGUAAAAGCUAAAGGAUGCAGCUGAGAUGAGAUUCAGACUUUAAAAUGUCCUUUCUUAUCUUACUGAAAGACCAUCAGACUGGGGCUGGGGGACCAAUCUUGAUAGCCAAAAAUUGAAGCCCUAUGUCUGAGCAUGUUGUCCAGAUGCUCCUUGAACUCCAGCAUUGGGCCAUGCCCACUGCACUCUGUUGAAGAACUUUUUCCUAACCCUUCCCUGACACAGUUCUAUGCCAUUCCAUUGGGUCACUUUAAGGCCUGCAGAGGAAAGGGAAUUCCUAUUUGCUAUUUCUAUGUUAGCCAGGGCUAGUACCUCAUUGUGGUAAGCAAUGUACGAACCUCAAAAUAUUCUCCUUGUUCUAAAGAAAAGAGUCUCUGAGUACAGAGGGAAAAAUUCUUGAAGGGGCAGGUUCAGCUGGGUGGCCAUCCAUCUGGCCUUCAUUCAUUCCUCUGUUGCUGUACAGCUAUUGUGCAAAAAAAGAAAAAAUCUACUUUGGGCCCAGUUUAAUCUCUGACCCAAACCCAUUGCCACAGAGUUACACCGGGGAUUAAUUUGGCUCAUUGGGUCUAACCUGACCUUGGCAGCAAUUCAAAAGUGCAAACAUCAGAAAUGUUGUUCUUUUAGUUAACAGUAGCAGGCCUUGGAAACCAUUGUCUGCUGUUCUCUGUGAAGCCGAUGAAUCAAACCCAUAUGUGGACUUGAAAAGGGCUACCGCAAACACGAAUGCAUGCAAUUUGAGCAAAAUUAGGAAUUUGGUCACAUACGCAUGCAACACCAUAC
This is a long non-coding RNA of Gallus gallus (chicken), 6608 nucleotides long. RefSeq lists it as uncharacterized. NCBI's taxonomy places the organism in Eukaryota, Metazoa, Chordata, Aves, Galliformes, Phasianidae. The record is from RefSeq and is a predicted model, not a curated record. The transcript is spliced from 3 exons.